Molecule: ribosomal RNA, 420 nt
Filed under: uncultured bacterium
Lineage: Bacteria
Description: partial 16S ribosomal RNA
Rfam family: Bacterial small subunit ribosomal RNA
Source: RNAcentral
AAUAUUGGACAAUGGGGGCAACCCUGAUCCAGCCAUGCCGCGUGUGUGAAGAAGGUCUUCGGAUUGUAAAGCACUUUAAGUUGGGAGUAAGGGCUUUAGGUUAAUACCCUGAAGCUGUGACGUUACCAACAGAAUACGCACCGGCUAACUCUGGGCCAGCAGCCGCGGUAAUACCGGGGGUUCAAGCGUUAAUCGGAAGUAUUGGGCGUAAAGCGCGCGUAGGUGGUUCAGGAAGAUGGGUGUGAAACCCCCGGGCUUAACCUGGGAACUGCUUUCAUAACUGCUGAGCUAGAGUACGGUAGAGGGUAGUGGAAUUUCCUGUGUAGCGGUGAAAUGCGUAGAUAUAGGAAGGAACACCAGUGGCGAAGGCGACUACCUGGACUGAUACUGACACUGAGGUGCGAAAGCGUGGGGAGCAAA